RNAcentral lists this ribosomal RNA (494 nucleotides) under uncultured bacterium. RNAcentral's name for it is "partial 16S ribosomal RNA". It matches the Rfam family "Bacterial small subunit ribosomal RNA", at positions 28 to 507 of the family's 1533-position model. The record is from RNAcentral.
GACGAACGCUGGCGGCGUGCUUAACACAUGCAAGUCGAACGGAAAGGCCUGUCCUUCCUUGUGUUGGACGGGUACUCGAGUGGCGAACGGGUGAGUAACACGUGAGUGAUCUGCCCCCAACUUGGGUAUAAGCCUGGGAAACUGGGUCUAAUUCCCGAUAGGACUGCAGGGUGGUGCCUGUGGUGGAAAACGAUUUUCUAGUGGUUGGGGAUGAGCUCGCGGCCUAUCAGCUUGUUGGUGGGGUAAUGGCCUACCAAGGCGGCGACGGGUAGCCGGCCUGAGAGGGUGGACGGCCACAUUGGGACUGAGAGACGGCCCAGACUCCGACGGGAGGCAGCAGUGGGGAAUAUUGCACAAUGGGCGGAAGCCUGAUGCAGCGACGCCGCGUGGGGGAUGACGGCCUUCGGGUUGUAAACUCCUUUCGACCGCGAGGAAGCCGCCUGGUUGGAAGGGUGGUGACGGUAGUGGUAGAAGAAGCACUGGCUAACUACGUG